GAUGAACGCUGGCGGCGUGCCUAAUACAUGCAAGUCGAGCGAACAGAUAAGGAGCUUGCUCCUUUGACGUUAGCGGCGGACGGGUGAGUAACACGUGGGUAACCUACCUAUAAGACUGGGAUAACUUCGGGAAACCGGAGCUAACACCGGAUAACAUUUGGAACCGCAUGGUUCUAAAGUGAAAGAUGGUUUUGCUAUCACUUAUAGAUGGACCCGCGCCGUAUUAGCUAGUUGGUAAGGUAACGGCUUACCAAGGCGACGAUACGUAGCCGACCUGAGAGGGUGAUCGGCCACACUGGAACUGAGACACGGUCCAGACUCCUACGGGAGGCAGCAGUAGGGAAUCUUCCGCAAUGGGCGAAAGCCUGACGGAGCAACGCCGCGUGAGUGAUGAAGGGUUUCGGCUCGUAAAACUCUGUUAUUAGGGAAGAACAAACGUGUAAUUAACUGUGCACGUCUUGACGGUGCCUAAUCAGAAAGCCACGGCUAACUACGUG
Molecule: ribosomal RNA, 497 nt
Filed under: uncultured bacterium
Lineage: Bacteria
Description: partial 16S ribosomal RNA
Rfam family: Bacterial small subunit ribosomal RNA
Source: RNAcentral